CCCGCCGGCGACCGGCGCACGGGUGAGUAACACGUAUGAAACCUGCCCGUAGCAGGGGGAUAAGCGGAAGAAAUUCCGUCUAAUACCGCGUAACAACCCAUGGGGGCAUCUCUGUGGGUUUAAAGGAAGCGAUUCCGGCUACGGAUGGUCAUGCGUCGCAUUAGCUUGUUGGCGGGGUAACGGCCCACCAAGGCGACGAUGCGUAGGGGUUCUGAGAGGAAGGUCCCCCACACUGGUACUGAGACACGGACCAGACUCCUACGGAAGGCAGCAG
This 274-nucleotide ribosomal RNA is filed under the name uncultured bacterium. Its description in RNAcentral is "partial 16S ribosomal RNA". It matches the Rfam family "Bacterial small subunit ribosomal RNA", at positions 84 to 354 of the family's 1533-position model. The record is from RNAcentral.